AAAAUCCGCACAGCAUGAAGCCUGAGAGGUGAUGCGUAGCCGUUGCGGCGAAUUCCAUGAUCCUAUGCUGCCGAGAAAAGCCUCUAGUGAGUUGGUACACGGCCCGUACCCCAAACCAACACAGGUGGUCAGGUAGAGAAUACUAAGGCGAUCGAGAGAACUGUGGUUAAGGAACUCGGCAAAAUGCCCCCGUAACUUCGGGAGAAGGGGGACCCAUUCUGGUGACGGCCCUUGCGGUCUGAGCUGGUGUGGGUCGCAGAGACCAGAGAGAAGCGACUGUUUACUAAAAACACAGGUCCGUGCGAAGUCGUAAGACGAUGUAUACGGACUGACGCCUGCCCGGUGCUGGAAGGUUAAGAGGACCGGUUAGUGCCCUUCGGGGUGCGAAGCUGAGAAUUUAAGCCCCAGUAAACGGCGGUGGUAACUAUAACCAUCCUAAGGUAGCGAAAUUCCUUGUCGGGUAAGUUCCGACCUGCACGAAUGGCGUAACGACUUCUCUGCUGUCUCAACCACAGACUCGGCGAAAUUGCAGUACGAGUAAAGAUGCUCGUUACGCGCGGCAGGACGAAAAGACCCCGGGACCUUCACUAUAGCUUGGUAUUGGUGUUCGGUUCGGUUUGUGUAGGAUAGGUGGGAGACUGUGAAGUGGGCACGCCAGUGUUCAUGGAGUCGUUGUUGAAAUACCACUCUGAUCGUAUUGGACUUCUAACCUCGGACCCUGAUCGGGUUCAGGGACAGUGCCUGGUGGGUAGUUUAACUGGGGCGGUUGCCUUCUAAAAUGUAACGGAGGCGCCCAAAGGUUCCCUCAGCCUGGUUGGCAAUCAGGUGUUGAGUGUAAGUGCACAAGGGAGCUUGACUGUGAGACGUACAUGUCGAGCAGGGACGAAAGUCGGGACUAGUGAUCCGGCACCGGCAAGUGGAAGCGGUGUCGCUCAACGGAUAAAAGGUACCCCGGGGAUAACAGGCUGAUCUUCCCCAAGAGUCCAUAUCGACGGGAUGGUUUGGCACCUCGAUGUCGGCUCGUCGCAUCCUGGGGCUGGAGUAGGUCCCAAGGGUUGGGCUGUUCGCCCAUUAAAGCGGCACGCGAGCUGGGUUUAGAACGUCGUGAGACAGUUCGGUCUCUAUCCGCCGCGCGCGUUAGAAACUUGAGGAAACCUGUCCCUAGUACGAGAGGACCGGGACGGACGAACCUCUGGUGUGCCAGUUGUCCCGCCAGGGGCACUGCUGGAUAGCUACGUUCGGAAGGGAUAACCGCUGAAAGCAUCUAAGCGGGAAGCCUGUUCCAAGAUGAGGUUUCUCACCACCUUGAGUGGUUAAGGCCCCCUACAGACCAUGGGGUUGAUAGGCCAGAACUGUACGCCUAGUAAUAGGUACAGGUGACUGGUACUAAUCGGCCGAGGACU
This 1403-nucleotide ribosomal RNA is filed under the name metagenome. RNAcentral describes it as "bacterial LSU rRNA". It matches the Rfam family "Bacterial large subunit ribosomal RNA", at positions 1537 to 2925 of the family's 2925-position model. The record is from RNAcentral.